This 253-nucleotide ribosomal RNA is filed under the name uncultured bacterium. RNAcentral's name for it is "partial 16S ribosomal RNA". It matches the Rfam family "Bacterial small subunit ribosomal RNA", at positions 524 to 776 of the family's 1533-position model. The record is from RNAcentral.
UAUGUAGGGUCCGAGCGUUGUCCGGAAUUAUUGGGCGUAAAGAGCGUGUAGGCGGUCCGGUAAGUCCGCUGUGAAAGUCGGGGGCUCAACCCUCGAAUGCCGGUGGAUACUGUCGGGCUUGAGUACGGAAGAGGCGAGUGGAAUUCCUGGUGUAGCGGUGAAAUGCGCAGAUAUCAGGAGGAACACCAAUUGCGAAGGCAGCUCGCUGGGACGUUACUGACGCUGAGACGCGAAAGCGUGGGGAGCAAACAGG